UACAGAGGUCUCAAGCGUUGUUCGGAUUCAUUGGGCGUAAAGGGUGCGUAGGUGGCACCGUAAGUCGGGUGUGAAAUUUCGGAGCUUAACUCCGAAACUGCAUUCGAUACUGCGGUGCUUGAGGACUGGAGAGGAGACUGGAAUUCAUGGUGUAGCAGUGAAAUGCGUAGAGAUCAUGAGGAAGACCAGUGGCGAAGGCGGGUCUCUGGACAGUUCCUGACGCUGAGGCACGAAGGUCAGGGGAGCAAACGGG
This 253-nucleotide ribosomal RNA is filed under the name uncultured bacterium. RNAcentral's name for it is "partial 16S ribosomal RNA". It matches the Rfam family "Bacterial small subunit ribosomal RNA", at positions 524 to 776 of the family's 1533-position model. The record is from RNAcentral.